GUUAGCGGCGGACGGGUGAGUAACACGUGGGCAACCUGCCUGUAAGACUGGGAUAACUUCGGGAAACCGGAGCUAAUACCGGAUAAUCCUUUUCCUCUCAUGAGGAAAAGCUGAAAGACGGUUUACGCUGUCACUUACAGAUGGGCCCGCGGCGCAUUAGCUAGUUGGUGAGGUAACGGCUCACCAAGGCGACGAUGCGUAGCCGACCUGAGAGGGUGAUCGGCCACACUGGGACUGAGACACGGCCCAGACUCCUACGGGAGGCAGCAGUAGGGAAUCUUCCGCAAUGGACGAAAGUCUGACGGAGCAACGCCGCGUGAGUGAUGAAGGUUUUCGGAUCGUAAAACUCUGUUGUUAGGGAAGAACAAGUACAAGAGUAACUGCUUGUACCUUGACGGUACCUAACCAGAAAGCCACGGCUAACUACGUGCCAGCAGCCGCGGUAAUACGUAGGUGGCAAGCGUUGUCCGGAAUUAUUGGGCGUAAAGCGCGCGCAGGCGGUCCUUUAAGUCUGAUGUGAAAGCCCACGGCUCAACCGUGGAGGGUCAUUGGAAACUGGGGGACUUGAGUGCAGAAGAGAAGAGUGGAAUUCCACGUGUAGCGGUGAAAUGCGUAGAGAUGUGGAGGAACACCAGUGGCGAAGGCGACUCUUUGGUCUGUAACUGACGCUGAGGCGCGAA
RNAcentral lists this ribosomal RNA (680 nucleotides) under Bacillus sp. I12B-01876. Its description in RNAcentral is "bacterial SSU rRNA". It matches the Rfam family "Bacterial small subunit ribosomal RNA", at positions 91 to 757 of the family's 1533-position model. Lineage: Bacteria; Bacillati; Bacillota; Bacilli; Caryophanales; Bacillaceae. The record is from RNAcentral.